This 72-nucleotide transfer RNA is filed under the name Heterocephalus glaber (naked mole-rat). It matches the Rfam family "tRNA". Rfam says of the family: Transfer RNA (tRNA) molecules are approximately 80 nucleotides in length. The record is from Rfam by way of RNAcentral. Lineage: Eukaryota; Metazoa; Chordata; Mammalia; Rodentia; Bathyergidae.
AGGGAUGUAGCUCAGUGAAACAGUGCGUGCCUGGGAAGCAGGAGGUCCCGAGUUCGAUCCCUGGUAUUCCCC